CUUGGAGUGUGUUAUUUCAAACGGAGGAAGAUUAGACAUCUAAUCUCAGGAAACAUAAAAGAAACACUCUCUCACCAGGAAGAUGUGUAGCUUAGAGAACAAACCCUAGAGAGUCUGAAGUCAGAUGACUCCAAAGAGUAGAAGGUGAGCCAGCAGAGCUUUGAUCAAAUGUUCUCUGACUGACUGAGAUCAACUCUGUUCUGUUUUUACAGAUUUACUAAAUGUUUGAUUUAAACUAAAUCUCUUUUCUCCUCAGGGUGAGACGGUUCAAAUUGAACUCCUGCAGAGUGAAUCAUCUCCAGGAUCCUGUUCUGGUCCAGCUGCUGGAUCCUGACACACUGUUGAUAUCUGUUUAUAUGUAUAUAUGUGUUUAUAUGUAUAUAUGUGUAUAUGUGUUUAUAUUUAUAUCUGGUCCAGUUUUGUUUUUGAGACGAUGAUUGAACACAAACACUUUCAUCAGCGCUCCAUCGGCUCUCUCACCAUCAAGUUUAAAUCUUUUAGAAAUUAAAGAUUGUCCCUUUCAUUUCUUGGGUCGGCUGUGGAUCAGUGGUGGUCGGUCGUCUCCCAAGUGAAAGGUCGGGGGUUCGAUCCCCCAGCUCCUGCAGCAACAUGUUGAUGUUUCUUUUGGACAAAACAUUUAACCCCAAAUAACUCCCUCUGCUGCAUCAUCAGGGUGUGAAUGUGUAUAGAUGAGUGUGAGCUGAGAUGAGUUCAGAUGUUUUUAUUAUGAUUUUUAUUAUUUUUUUUAUUGUUCCUUGUACAGUUUUUCACUUUAUACAACUAGUUAUG
This is a non-coding RNA of Labrus bergylta (ballan wrasse), 789 nucleotides long. The record is from RefSeq and is a predicted model, not a curated record. NCBI's taxonomy places the organism in Eukaryota, Metazoa, Chordata, Actinopteri, Labriformes, Labridae.